AGAGAUUACAAGCAUAAGCUCAAAACUCAAAGGACUUGGCGGCGCUUUAAACCCAUCUAGAGGAGCCUGUCCUAUAACCGAUAAUCCCCGUUAAACCUUACCUUCUCUUGCUCCCAGCCUAUAUACCGCCGUCGUCAGCCCACCCUGUGAAGGCCCACUAGUAGGCAAAACUGGUCCAGCCCAAAACGUCAGGUCGAGGUGUAGCAUAUUAGAAGUAAAGAGAUGGGCUACAUUUCCUACACAGGGAACCACGGAUAGUACAAUGAUAUGUGUACAUUGAAGAAGGAUUUAGCAGUAAGUAAAAAAUAGAGUGUUUUGCUGAAACCGGCCCUAAAGCGAGCACACACCGCCCGUCACUCUCUCCUAGUCUACCGCCCCAACCCUACAUAAAAAGCCUUACCAGCAAAGGAGAUACAAGUCGUAACAUGGUAAGUGUACUGGAAAGUGCACUUGGAUAAA
RNAcentral lists this ribosomal RNA (459 nucleotides) under Kryptolebias marmoratus (mangrove rivulus). Its description in RNAcentral is "partial 12S ribosomal RNA". It matches the Rfam family "Bacterial small subunit ribosomal RNA", at positions 874 to 1525 of the family's 1533-position model. Lineage: Eukaryota; Metazoa; Chordata; Actinopteri; Cyprinodontiformes; Rivulidae. The record is from RNAcentral.